Long non-coding RNA from Mustela erminea (ermine), 2604 nucleotides. RefSeq lists it as uncharacterized. The transcript is spliced from 3 exons. NCBI's taxonomy places the organism in Eukaryota, Metazoa, Chordata, Mammalia, Carnivora, Mustelidae. The record is from RefSeq and is a predicted model, not a curated record.
ACCACUUUUACCCAAAGGACUCUCAGAUCAUGUUCCGGAAAUGAAUUUUCAAUUACCUGCUUUAUAUAUCCACCUGAAUAUCCUGCAGGCAUACCAACACAACAUGUCCAAAACCAAACUCAUGGUGGCAUUCCUCAAGGCUGCUCAUCAUUCUGGACCCCCUAUUUCGGUUACUAGCAUUACUGACCACCUAGUCAUUACUGUAUGAAGCUUCAGAUGACCUUUGGUUCUUCCUUCUCUAGUGUCUCUUCUCAUCUGAUCAAUUGGCAAGUCCCACAGACAGUCCUUUCGCAAUAUUUAUCAUAUCUAUGCCUCCCAUCCAUUCCCACUGCUACCACCCUGGCUCAGGUCUUAUUUCCUCACUUGUUAUCUCAGCUGCCAAAAUGUUCUCCUAAUUAGUCUUCCUAUCUCCAAUGCUCUCCUUGUUCCAGCCAUCCUAUAUUUUGCCUUGCCCCAGGCCAGUCUUCCUAAUGAAUAAUAUACAUGUUAGGAUUAAGUUCCACUUUUCCAGUAGGAAAAAAGGAAGGAGCAAUGUCUUCUCCCUUUAAGAACAUUUCCUAGAAGUUGUUCAUGCUAUGUGCUUUGUAUUUCAUUAACCAGAAUUUACAACAUGACUUUACCUAGCUGCAAGAGAAGUUAAGAAAUGUCGUCUUUAUUUUGCACAGGCAUUUUUAACUGGGGAGUUAAAAAUUGGUGCUUCUGAUGAGUAAGUUGUGGGAAUAAAAGGGACAGUGUAGAGAAUAUAGUCAAUGUUAUUGUAAUAGCAUUGUAUGGUGACAGAUGGCAGCUACACUUGGGGUGAGCACAGCUUGACAUAUAGACUUGCUGAAUCACUAUGUUGUACACUUGAAACUAAUGUGACACUGUGUGUCUACUGUACUUCAAUAAAUAAAUUAAUUUAAAAAAUUUUUUUAAAAGACUGGUGCUUCGGUUACUAAAGAAGCAGGAAGGGAUGGAUUCUAGGGCAACUCCUCCAUUCCACUUCUUGUUCAAAAGCUUUCAGUGGCUCCCACUAAAUUAAGAAUGUGCUCUUCAUCCUGGCAUUGAAGACCUACAGGAUCUGACAUUGGCUCUCUCUGCCAGGCUUGUACCUUGUAGGCAUGCUACAAACACAGGGUUGUGUGCUGCUUCUACAUUUUUCUCGCCUCUGCACAUAGCCCCAGUUCACUUCUCUCCCAAAGCCUUUCUGCAGCCCCCUUGCUCCCACUGUGCUGCCCACACUUUUGUGCACCCCAGAGCUGUGUUAACAGUUAACCCUCCAUUGGGAGUGAGGAAAGCCCUGCCUUAAGGAACGCCCUGCCUUGCUGGCACUUUCCCUGGACAUAAGUGUGGUGCCCAGUGGGAGAGCAGUGUUGGGAGUACCUUAUGCCGUGCCUCAUGUUUGAACUAGAAACCCCUCCCUUUAAGUAGGAGCUGGUGUCUGGCUUCUUUUGGGGAAUGGAUGCCCUGGAGCUGCUCUGCCUCCAUGGGAGGCAAACCAAGAAACAGGUUAUCAACUCCUAGCCUCCCCAACAGUUGCUAAAGGGUUUAACUUUCUGCUUUCUUUUUCUUUCCCUUUUUUCCCUUAAUUCCUCCCCUUCUGCGCUUCCAUUACAUUUCUUUCGUCUUUUCAUAACUUUACAUGUCUCCUCCCUGUCAGUAUUUAGUACAAAAAAAUCAUUGAUUCUUAUAUUUAGACACGUCCCCCUACAACACUUACAUGUGUUUUCUCUGGAUUUUAGAUGUGUAAGUACCACAUUACAAAAUACGUUCCAAGUGGUGCAGUCUGAUACCACUCGCCAUCACCACCACCACCAUCAUUUGGUGCUUGAAACUCUCAAUAGGCUGGAGGACUGCUCGGAUACACAUGACCAAUGAUGCUUAUACUCAGUGUCCACAACUACAGUGAACCUAGGCUUAGAUGUACUUCCUGGCUACUGACCUGAACCACAGCAGAUUUUCCUCCUACUUAAGAAAGAAUCUUGGCCUGCAAGGUCCUCCAACUCAGUCUGGACUCAACCAUAUGAUUUUCUUUAGCCAAUGGGUAUACCUGACCCAAGGCAAGCAAAGUUUGAAAUAGGCUUACACAUUAGGCUUUUCUCUUGUGCCAUUGUCAUCAGAACAUGCCUGGGGGGAAGAGAGACACACGGAGCACAGCUGAGUCCUCAGUCAUCAUAGCAGAGUUCAUCCUCGAUCAACUACCAGCCAGACUACCCCAAACGUGGAAGCGGAACCAGCCAGUCAGUUGAGCUGUCUAGCCGCUCCCUACCACCACUCCGAGAAAUACGAGCAAUAAAAACCACUGUUGUGUGCCAUGAAAGUUUUGUGGUUCUUUGUUACAGUGUUAGUCCAAAUCUACUAAGCAGCAGAUGCUGAGAUGGAAGAAAACAUACAAGGAUUUUAUGCAGGAGUAGCAAUGUGAGAGAAAAAAGUGUGGAGGGAACUGCGCCCCAGGACAGCUGUCAGAAGACAACGCAAGUCUGACCCAGAUGAAGGAAGGAGAGAAGGAAAGUUGGGUAGACGAGUCUGCCAUGCAGUCUAAGGGAAAUUCAGCCUCAGCUAUGGUGGCCACCAUGUGCAGCCUGCAAACAUUGGAUUAUUUCAUUAUAUUCCCUGUGUGAUCAU